GAAGAGUCCCAUAAUAGGACGAAACGGCCGUC
Molecule: non-coding RNA, 32 nt
Organism: Schistosoma rodhaini
Lineage: Eukaryota; Metazoa; Platyhelminthes; Trematoda; Strigeidida; Schistosomatidae
Source: Rfam